RNAcentral lists this ribosomal RNA (4460 nucleotides) under Salpingoeca rosetta. RNAcentral describes it as "Salpingoeca sp. ATCC 50818 Eukaryotic large subunit ribosomal RNA". It matches the Rfam family "Eukaryotic large subunit ribosomal RNA". Lineage: Eukaryota; Choanoflagellata; Craspedida; Salpingoecidae. The record is from Rfam by way of RNAcentral.
UGACCUCAGGUCAGGCAAGGGUACCCCCUGAACUUAAGCAUAUCACUAAGGGGAGGAAGAGAAACUAACAAGGAUUCCCUCAGUAACGGCGAGUGAAGCGGGAAGAGCUCAAGCAUUGGAAUCUCCACAAGCUUCUUUUUUGUGGCGAGUUGUAGUCUUUAUGGGAUGCGGGCCGUCGCAUGUCUUUAUGAUGGUGCACAGCUUUUGUUGUGCAUUGUUGUUUGGCGCAGCACCGAGUUUCCUUGGAAGAGGACACCGGAGAGGGUGAGAGUCCCGUUGGUGCUACAUUAUUUGCGCUGAUGUGCGGUGUGUGGUCCGUUUAUUCUCUUGAGUCGGGUUGUUUGGGAAUGCAGCCCAAAGCCGGGUGGUAAACUGCAUCCAAGGCUAAAUACUGGCACGAGACCGAUAGCGAACAAGUACCGUGAGGGAAAGAUGAAAAGCACUUUGAAAAGAGAGUUAAACAGUACGUGAAACCGUUGACAGAGAAUCGCUUGCAGCUAGCAGAGACUGGGCGCGCCUUGUGAUCAGGGCUUUUGGUGUGGUGUGUGAUGAUAGUGCGGGGGGUGUUUUGUGUGUACUUGUUGCACAUAUGCGCCGCUGCGUUGCUGUUGUUGUGUGCUGCGCUGCCUGCACUCGCGGGGCGUGUCUGCCAGCAUGAGUUUUGUGUGUGAGAGACGGCGAUGCGAGGGCGCCCUUGUGCGUGGCGCAUCUGCUUUUUAUGUUUCUGUCGCACGCGGGACUGAGGAAAUUAUCGAUGCGGUGGCUUUGUUAUGUGGUCUUUGGCAUGGGUGCUGUUUUCGGCAUUGUGUUGCGCAGACUCUUGUUUUGGGAUGAGGGAGACUCGUUCUCUUGUGCUGUUGACAGAGUGUGUGCGGGCGGUGUUGGGAAUGUUGCGCUUGCCGCUUGGCGCACACCACCGGGGAGAUGCUGGCGACAGGGCUGCAAACGGCCCGUCUUGAAACACGGACCAAGGAGUCUAACAUGUGCGCGAGUGUUUUAGCGAGCAUGAAGCUAGGGCGCGCAAUGAAAGUGAGAGGUGGGAUGCAGUGUUGUGGAAGUGUGCGUGAGUACACUUUUAACAGCACUCGCAGCACCAUCGACCGAUCUGGAUUGGGGGAGGGGGAAAAGCACUUUUGUGUGGCUUCCACCUCCUCCGCUGAAGGAUUUGCGUUUUAGCGCAGAUGUUAGGACCCGAUAGAUGGUGAACUAUGCCUGAGUAGGGCGAAGCCAGAGGAAACUCUGGUGGAGGCUCGUAGCGAUCAUGACGUGCAAAUCUGUCGUCGAACUUGGGUAUAGGGGCGAAAGACUCAUCGAACCAUCUAGUAGCUGGUUCCCACCGAAGUUUCCCUCAGGAUAGCUGAGACUUAUUUUUUGAUCUUUUGGUUAGUUUUAUCUGGUAAAGCGAAUGAUUAGAGGCCUUGGGGGAGCCACUUCCCUCAACCUAUUCUCAAACUUUAAAUGGGUAAGGCGGCGCGCUUUCUUUGUUUAUGAAGCGGGCAAUGCUGAAUAACCGAGUCUCAAGUGGGCCCAUUUUUGGUAAGCAGAACUGGCGAUGCGGGAUGAACCGAACGCGGAGUUAGGGUGCCGGAAUCGACGCUCAUGAGAACCCACAAAAGGUGUUGGUUGAUAUAGACAGCAGGACGGUGGCCAUGGAAGUCGGAAUCCGCUAAGGAGUGUGUAACAACUCACCUGCCGAAUCAACUAGCCCUGAAAAUGGAUGGCGCUCAAGCGUCGUACCUAUACUCCGCUGUGUGUGGAAGAAAGCGAGCGAAGCGAGCAUUCGUGCUUGUUGCGUCUCAAAACUACAUGUAGCCACACACAAGUAGGUGGGCGUGGAGGUGUUUGCGUGAGAGCAAUCUUUUGAACAAGCCGUGGAAGCCUGUGGCGUGAGCCUGGGUGGAGGGGCCUCCAGUGCAGAUCUUGGUGACAGUAGCAACGAUUCAAAUGAGAUCUUUGAAGACUGAAGUGGAGCAAGGUUCCGUGGGAACAGCAGUUGGCCACGGGUGAGUCGGUCCUAAGAGAUGGGGCAGUCCUGUGUCAAGUGGGGAGUUGUUGCGCGUGUGUGGGUGGUGGUGAUAUUAUCGCCAUGCUUGCACACGUGUUGAUUACCCCAGUCCAUCGAAAGGGAACCAGGUUAAGAUUCCUGGACCAACGCACGCCACAAAGAAUGUUUUGAUAGAGCAGCGGCAACGCGUACAAACUCGGAGACGCUGCCGGGGGCCCUGGAAAGAGUUUUCUUUUCUUUUUAACGAGCUGCAUUGUGGGGAGGAGUAGGGGGAAGAGUGUUAGUUUAUUCUGCGCUCUUCAACCUUCCUCCUUUACAUUCUCUGACCCUGGAAUCAGUUUGGCUGGAGAUGGGGUGAGAGGCUCGGCAAAGCACCACUGACCUUUUUUUGUUGUGGUGUCCGGCGCGUUCCCGGCGGUCCAUGAAAAUCCGAGGGUGUGAAUGGUAGCAGUGUGGGGGGAAGAAGAGAAGCACUUGUGCUAAUCUAUUUUCUCCGCUGCAUGUGGGCGUGGUUGGCCGUACUGAUAACCGCAGCAGGUCUCCAAGGUGAAGAGCCUCUAGUUUGAUAGACGAAUGUAGGUAAGGGAAGUCGGCAAAAUAGAUCCGUAAGCUCGCGAUAAGGAUUGGCUCAAGAGGUUGAUUGUGUGUGUGGGGGGUGGGGGUGAAAGGGGGUGUGCUUGCAUGCCGCUCUUGCACCUUCACUCUCUGCGCACACUGUUUUUUUAGCAACCGAUCUUGAACUGGUACGGACAAGGGGAAUCCGACUGUUUACUUAAAACAAAGCAUUGCGAGGAUAGGCUGUUGCGACGGUGUAGACGCAAUGUGAUUUCUGCCCAGUGCUCAGAAUGUCAACGUGAAGAAAUUCAAGCCAAGCGCGGGAUCAACGGCGGAAGUAACUAUGACUUUCUUAAGGUAGCCAAAUGCCUCGUCAUUUAACUGGUGACGCGCAUGAAUGGAUUAACGAGAUUCCCACUGUCCCUAUCUACGCUCUAGCGAAACCGCAGCCAAGGGAACGGACUUGGCACAAUCAGCGGGGAAAGAAGACCCGCUAGAGCUUGACUCUAGUCCGACCGUGUGAAAAGACACCAGAGGUGUAGCAUAGGUGGGAGCAGGUGUGGGUUUACUUGUGCUUGCGGCCUUGAAAUACCACUACUCUGGUCGUUUUUUUGCUUAUUGAAUGACACGGGGCUGGUGUGGGUGAUUGUGGUGUGCGUAGCGCGCAUUUCUUGUGUGAGCUGUGCGCACCUGAUCACACAUGUGCACCAUUUCUGGAGAAAGGGAGGGCAGCGUGGAGUGUUCUUGCACUUUAUGUUAUGCCGAUCCCGACCCGCUUUCAAGACGAGGUCAGGUGGGGAGUUUGGCUGGGGCGGCACAUCUGUAAAACGAUAACGCAGGUGUCCCAAGGUGAGCUCAAUGAGAACGGAAAUCUCAUGUGGAGUAAAAGGACAAAAGCUCACUUGAUUUUGUGAUUUUCAGGAUGAAUACAAACUGUGAAAGCAUGGCCUAUCGAUCCUUUAGUCGCGGCGGAUAAGAGUGAACAACGCACUCGUGCGUCUAAGCUCCCAUUCUGCACUGCGCCUGUUGACAGCUUCAACCUAGAGGUGUCCGAAAAGUUACCGGCGGGAUAACUGGCUUGUGGCAGCCAAGCGUUCAUAGCGACGUUGCUUUUUGAUCCUUCGAUGUCGACUCUUCCUAUCAUUGUGAANNNNNNNNNNNNNNNNNNNNNNNNNNNNNNNNNNNNNNNNNNNNNNNNNNNNNNNNNNNNNNNNNNNNNNNNNNNNNNNNNNNNNNNNNNNNNNNNNNNNUGUUCACCCACUAAUAGGGAACGUGAGUUGGGUUUAGACCGUCGUGAGACAGGUUAGUUUUACCCUACUGAUGAUUUUUAUGAGUUACACAGUUGUGAUAGUAAUUCAACUCAGUACGAGAGGAACCGUUGAUUCGGAUAGUUGGUUCAUGCGGUUGGCUGAGGAGCCAGGGCCGCGACGCUAUCAUCCGUAGGAUUAUGACUGAACGCCUCUAAGUCAGAAUCCAUGCUAGAUUUGCGCAGCUGUACUGUUGCUGGUGGUGGCAUGUAAAAGUGUUGCUGCCAGUGGUUUUUGGUUUCUCUUCGAGAUUUGAUGGUGGCGGUGUGUUGUGUGCAUUGCUGUGGCAACACAGUCGUGUGUGCUCUGCACUGUCAUUUGUUGUAAUAGCAGGCGAACAGGAAUAGGUGUGCACGCCUUGGUGUGCAUGCUCUGCGUCGGAAGUAAGCUUUAUUUUGUGCACCCACACGGUGUGUUGCAGCUGCCUGGAAGCGGGCUUGGCUGUGUGUGUGGGUGUGAUCUCUCACGAGAGAAAGCGCGCAUCUUGAAGGGGUUGAUCCUUUGCAGACGACUUAAUGGGCGAGGUGUUGUGAGCAGUAGAGUAGCCUUGCUGCUACGAUCUGCUGAGACUCUGCCUUGGGCGCUGCGCCAGC